CAAUAACGCUGAGUUUUUUGCCCCCUCUCCCCUUCAGAACUGCACUUAUUAUUGGGGUUUUGCUGCUUGGAUGGCGUAUUACAUCAACCACCCCCUGUACACCCCCCCCGCUUAUGGAGAUGAGCAGGUGAAGCUGGCGCUGGCGGUGUUCCUGUUCUGUCAACUGGGGAACUUCUCGAUCCACGUGGCGCUGCGCAACCUCCGCCCUG
Non-coding RNA from Meleagris gallopavo (turkey), 209 nucleotides. NCBI's taxonomy places the organism in Eukaryota, Metazoa, Chordata, Aves, Galliformes, Phasianidae. The record is from RefSeq and is a predicted model, not a curated record.